CCGCCGUGUCGGAGCAGCUUUGUGCCUGCUGUAACACCGGUAGCACCUCGCAAGUGUGACCCACCCUUGCUCUCUGCAGAAAGGAGGUGAAAAGUGCCUGAUUUUUGGAUUUUGUGGGGGUGAGCGUGGAGCUCACCGUGGCUUGCUUGAUUUAAAUGUACGACUUUCUUGGUGACUCUGUUAGAAGAGGUGAAUGACAGAAACGUGCCUAGGAGAAGAAGGUGUUUGGAUUUGCCAUGGUCCAGAGCUCCUGUGUGAGUGCCCUCCAAUUGCAUUGCUUUGGUACCAUCUCACUUCUGCAAAAGGCAAUUUUGUUAAAUGUAUCCCCAAAUGCACUGAUGAAGUUAUAACUGCUUGGCAAAGGCUUGGAGACAAAGAUACUGCUGUGAAAAAUGAGUCUUGUCAAAAGAAAACUGAUUUGCAGCUGCUAAGACCUAGGGGGGAUGCUGUCUACCCUUGUUGCCACCAACGGAAGCAUAAAGUGGUGACUUUGCAAGAAAAAAAAGGAAAGAUGAAGGAAGGAAUUUCUUCAGUUAAGCAUUUCUCUGGAAGAAAUUGGAAGAAGCACAUUUCUACAACAGCUAACUGAGCAAGAAGAAACAAAAAAGAGCAACUGCCAUUGUUUCAGCCGAGCCUAGCAGUCCGUGUCUGGAUUGCUUGUUGUAAUUCAAGUGCAGGUUUUAAUAGGAAUAAAACCACAUUGGUUUGAAUGCCCUGAAUACCA
This 724-nucleotide long non-coding RNA is filed under the name Parus major (Great Tit). RNAcentral describes it as "lncRNA (ENSPMJG00000003663.1)". Lineage: Eukaryota; Metazoa; Chordata; Aves; Passeriformes; Paridae. The record is from RNAcentral.